AGAGCGAACGCUGGCGGCAGGCUUAACACAUGCAAGUCGAGCGGGCGUAGCAAUACGUCAGCGGCAGACGGGUGAGUAACGCGUGGGAACAUACCUUUUGGUUCGGAACAACCCAGGGAAACUUGGGCUAAUACCGGAUAAGCCCUUACGGGGAAAGAUUUAUCGCCGAAAGAUUGGCCCGCGUCUGAUUAGCUAGUUGGUGAGGUAACGGCUCACCAAGGCGACGAUCAGUAGCUGGUCUGAGAGGAUGAUCAGCCACAUUGGGACUGAGACACGGCCCAAACUCCUACGGGAGGCAGCAGUGGGGAAUAUUGGACAAUGGGCGCAAGCCUGAUCCAGCCAUGCCGCGUGAGUGAUGAAGGCCCUAGGGUUGUAAAGCUCUUUUGUGCGGGAAGAUAAAUGACGGUACCGCAAGAAUAAGCCCGGCUAACUUCGCGCCAGCAGCCGC
Molecule: ribosomal RNA, 448 nt
Filed under: uncultured bacterium
Lineage: Bacteria
Description: SSU rRNA
Rfam family: Bacterial small subunit ribosomal RNA
Source: RNAcentral